Molecule: ribosomal RNA, 433 nt
Filed under: uncultured Pelotomaculum sp.
Lineage: Bacteria; Bacillati; Bacillota; Clostridia; Eubacteriales; Desulfotomaculaceae
Description: bacterial SSU rRNA
Rfam family: Bacterial small subunit ribosomal RNA
Source: RNAcentral
UUCGACGCAAACGCGAAGAACCUUACCAGGGCUUGACAUCCCCUGACCGCGUAUGAAAGUACGUUUUCACCUCGGGUGACAGGGAGACAGGUGGUGCAUGGUUGUCGUCAGCUCGUGUCGUGAGAUGUUGGGUUAAGUCCCGCAACGAGCGCAACCCCUACGUUUAGUUGCUAACGCGUGAAGGCAGCACUCUAGACGAACUGCCGUUGACAAAACGGAGGAAGGUGGGAUGACGUCAAAUCAUCAUGCCCCUUAUGUUCUGGGCUACACACGUGCUACAAUGGCCGGUACAGACGGACGCAAAGCCGCGAGGUGGAGCAAAUCCUAAAAAGCCGGUCUCAGUUCGGAUUGCAGGCUGCAAUUCGCCUGCAUGAAGUCGGAAUCGCUAGUAAUCGCAGGUCAGCAUACUGCGGUGAAUACGUUCCCGGGCCUU